AUGGGGACCCUCCAAAGCCCCACUCUCGCCACUUUCAUUCAACAUAGUUUUGGAAGUCCUAGGCACAGCAAUCAGAGAAGAAAAAGAAAUAAAAGGAAUCCAGCUCUGCAGCAGAAUUUACGCACCGGGGGAGCUGUAGUUGUCACGCUGUACAAGACAGAUUUUCCUGAAGCUGCCAGUUCUUUUAGAACUCAUCAAAUUGAGGCCGCUCCAACCGGCUCUGCAGUUGAUGGAUUGAAGGCAAAUCUAGUCUUUAAGGAGAUUGAGAAGAAGCUUGAAGAGGAAGGAGAGCAGUUUGUGAAGAAAAUCGGUGAUAUUUUUGCCUUCAAGGUGAAGGAUGGCCCUGGAGGUAAAGAAGCCACCUGGGUGGUGGACGUGAAGAAUGGCAAAGGACCGGUGCUCCCUAACUCAGAUAAGAAGGCCGACUGCACAAUUACAGUGGCUGACUCGGACUUACUGGCUUUGAUGACCUGUAAAAUGAAUCCUCAGUCGUCCUUCUUUAAAGGCAAAUUGAAAAUCACUGGCAACAUGGGUCUAGCUACGAAGUUACAAAAUCGUCAGCUUCAUCCAGGCGAAGCUAAGCUGUGAAGAACUCCCGUUGCCUACCUUUGAAAAUCAAGAUGAGACAUAUAGAUAUCUAUCCAUAUAUUUCAUUGUCAGAACUUAGGUUGAAGCUACACAUUGGCAAAUAGCAUGAGAUUUU
Molecule: RNA transcript, 703 nt
Organism: Aethalodelphis obliquidens (Pacific white-sided dolphin)
Lineage: Eukaryota; Metazoa; Chordata; Mammalia; Artiodactyla; Delphinidae
Gene name: non-specific lipid-transfer protein pseudogene
Exons: 2
Source: RefSeq, a predicted model, not a curated record